RNAcentral lists this ribosomal RNA (573 nucleotides) under uncultured bacterium. RNAcentral describes it as "partial 16S ribosomal RNA". It matches the Rfam family "Bacterial small subunit ribosomal RNA", at positions 355 to 920 of the family's 1533-position model. The record is from RNAcentral.
UGGGGAAUUUUGGACAAUGGGCGAAAGCCUGAUCCAGCAAUGCCGCGUGUGUGAAGAAGGCCUUCGGGUUGUAAAGCACUUUUGUCCGGAAAGAAAUCCUUGGCUCUAAUACAGUCGGGGGAUGACGGUACCGGAAGAAUAAGCACCGGCUAACUACGUGCCAGCAGCCGCGGUAAUACGUAGGGUGCAAGCGUUAAUCGGAAUUACUGGGCGUAAAGCGUGCGCAGGCGGUUUGCUAAGACCGAUGUGAAAUCCCCGGGCUCAACCUGGGAACUGCAUUGGUGACUGGCAGGCUAGAGUAUGGCAGAGGGGGGUAGAAUUCCACGUGUAGCAGUGAAAUGCGUAGAGAUGUGGAGGAAUACCGAUGGCGAAGGCAGCCCCCUGGGCCAAUACUGACGCUCAUGCACGAAAGCGUGGGGAGCAAACAGGAUUAGAUACCCUGGUAGUCCACGCCCUAAAACGAUGUCAACUAGUUGUUGGGGAUUCAUUUCCUUAGUAACGUAGCUAACGCGUGAAGUUGACCGCCUGGGGAGUACGGUCGCAAGAUUAAAACUCAAAUGAAUUGACGGGGUC